Long non-coding RNA from Nyctereutes procyonoides (raccoon dog), 256 nucleotides. RefSeq lists it as uncharacterized. Lineage: Eukaryota; Metazoa; Chordata; Mammalia; Carnivora; Canidae. The record is from RefSeq and is a predicted model, not a curated record. The transcript is spliced from 2 exons.
ACUGCCGGGACCUGCUCCCUCUUGCCCUCUCUUUCAUUUUAUACACAGAUCUGCCCUUCCAUCUGGAGCCCUCCUGCCUGGUACUGACCCUGGGAGGCAGCAGAGAUCCUAUCCCUAGGAGAGGGAUAAGACUUCAGGCCAACCCUGCUGUUCGGGUUCAAGACAGAAUAGCACACAAGGAAACAAAAGGACCACACGAAUGUUCGAAUCCUCCUUGGAAUAAAUAUUCCGUGAUAAUAAAAACGGUGCUAUAAAA